AUAAUGGCAGGCUAUGAGGUUAGCCUUUAUACGCUCUUUUUUGAGCUGAUGACCUCUACUUUUUA
RNAcentral lists this non-coding RNA (65 nucleotides) under Desulfurella amilsii. RNAcentral's name for it is "Fluoride sequence". It matches the Rfam family "Fluoride riboswitch aptamer (crcB RNA motif)". Lineage: Bacteria; Pseudomonadati; Campylobacterota; Desulfurellia; Desulfurellales; Desulfurellaceae. The record is from Rfam by way of RNAcentral.